This 405-nucleotide ribosomal RNA is filed under the name uncultured bacterium. RNAcentral's name for it is "partial 16S ribosomal RNA". It matches the Rfam family "Bacterial small subunit ribosomal RNA", at positions 28 to 526 of the family's 1533-position model. The record is from RNAcentral.
GACGAACGCUGGCGGCGUGCUUAACACAUGCAAGUCGAGCGGAGCGGCGAACGGGUGAGUAACGCGUGAGUAACUGCCCCCCCCUCUGGGAUAACUGUUGGAAACGGCUGCUAAUACCGGAUAGUGGGGGAUGACUCGCGUCCUAUCCGCUUGUUGGUGGGGUAGUGGCCUACCAAGGCGACGACGGGUAGCCGGCCUGAGAGGGCGACCGGCCAGGUUGGGCUGAGAUACGGCCCAAACUCCUACGGGAGGGAGCAGUGGGGGAUGGUGCACGAUAGGGGAGACCCUAAUGCAGCAACGCCGCGUGCGGGAUGACGGGCUUCGGGUUGUAAACCGAUUUCAGCCAUGACGCGGUAGUGGCAGAAGAAGCACCGGCUAACUACGUGCCAGCAGCCGCGGUAAUAC